UACGAAGGGGGCUAGCGUUGUUCGGAAUUACUGGGCGUAAAGCGUGCGCAGGCGGUUUUGUAAGCCAGAUGUGAAAUCCCCGGGCUCAACCUGGGAAUGGCAUUUGGGACUGCAAGGCUCGAGUGCGGCAGAGGAGACUGGAAUUCCUGGUGUAGCAGUGAAAUGCGUAGAUAUCAGGAGGAAUACCGAUGGCGAAGGCAGGUCUCUGGGCUGACACUGACGCUCAUGCACGAAAGCGUGGGGAGCAAACAGG
Molecule: ribosomal RNA, 253 nt
Filed under: uncultured bacterium
Lineage: Bacteria
Description: partial 16S ribosomal RNA
Rfam family: Bacterial small subunit ribosomal RNA
Source: RNAcentral